Panicum virgatum (switchgrass) is the source of this 869-nucleotide long non-coding RNA. RefSeq lists it as uncharacterized. NCBI's taxonomy places the organism in Eukaryota, Viridiplantae, Streptophyta, Magnoliopsida, Poales, Poaceae. The record is from RefSeq and is a predicted model, not a curated record. The transcript has 4 exons.
AGCCGCCUCCCUCCCUCUCUCUCUCCCGUUUUGAUUCUUGCAGUGCUGAUGUCUCAGUUUGCCUUCCACUUCUCUCAUAUCCCCUGUCUUUUCUCUCUAUUUCUUAUUCCUGUAACCCUGUUAACUGAUGCAAAUGUCUUCAAUCUCUCUCUUGUUCGUCACAAUCUUGCAGUGAUUGGACCGGAUCUGAGGUCCUGAUUGGUUUCGAGAAUCAUUACAACGAGUCCACCCAUUCGAGAAGGAAAUCCCAUCUUUGCUAAACAAGCCAGGGUUUGCAUAGCUUUAUGCUGGGUGACCAAUGCCCAAAAAUGAGUGCUCCAUAUAAUUGGGUUGAUACAGAUGCUCAACUGGAGCAUUUGACAAGAUUCUUGGGCGAGGAAAAGGCUUUUGCUGUUGAUACAGAGCAGCACAGUGUUUGGUCCUUCCUAGGAUAUACUGCACUAAUGCAGAACUCUACACAGAAGGAAGAUUAUUUGAUAGACACAGUUGCAUUGCAUGAUGUGAUGGGCAUGCUGCGUCCAGUGUUUGCCAAUCCUUCAAUGUGUAAGAUAAGAAGCCUUUAAGCUCUAUUACAGUACAAGCAAAGAUGCAUGAUGCAAUGAAUUCUAUUUACAUUCCAUUGAAAGGUAACUGAGUUGUUCUUUCUGGAUAUGCAUUAGAGGUAUAUAUGCUGUAGGACAUCCUGAUGGCAACAAAUUGUUUUUUCUUUCCUUUACUACAUUUAUUUGCCACUUAAUUACAAAGCCUAAAAUAGAAGAUACACUGUAAGGCAUCCUAAAUACUCACAUUUCUCUUUUUCCUUAUGUUGUAGAUCUUCCAUGGAGCUGACAAUUAUGUUCUUUGGCUUCAACGAGAUUUUCAUAUUUAAU